Molecule: transfer RNA, 72 nt
Filed under: Actinoplanes sp. ATCC 53533
Lineage: Bacteria; Bacillati; Actinomycetota; Actinomycetes; Micromonosporales; Micromonosporaceae
Rfam family: tRNA
About the family: Transfer RNA (tRNA) molecules are approximately 80 nucleotides in length. Their secondary structure includes four short double-helical elements and three loops (D, anti-codon, and T loops). Further hydrogen bonds mediate the characteristic L-shaped molecular structure. tRNAs have two regions of fundamental functional importance: the anti-codon, which is responsible for specific mRNA codon recognition, and the 3' end, to which the tRNAs corresponding amino acid is attached (by aminoacyl-tRNA synthetases). tRNAs cope with the degeneracy of the genetic code in two manners: having more than one tRNA (with a specific anti-codon) for a particular amino acid; and 'wobble' base-pairing, i.e. permitting non-standard base-pairing at the 3rd anti-codon position.
Source: Rfam by way of RNAcentral
ACGGGUGUAGCUCAACGGUAGAGCACCGGUCUCCAAAACCGAAGGUCGCAGGUUCAAAUCCUGCCGCCCGUG